GACGAACGCUGGCGGCGUUCUUAACACAUGCAAGUCGAACGGAAAGGCCCUGCUUUUGUGGGGUUUUCGAGUGGCGAACGGGUGUGUAACAUGUGAGUAUCCUGCCCUUGACUUUGGGAUAACUUCAGGAAACUGGGGCUAAUACCGGAUAGGAGCUCCUGCUGCAUGGUGGGGUUUGGAAAGUUUCGGCGGUUGGGGAUGGACUCGCGGCUUAUCAGCUUGUUGGUGGGGUAGUGGCUUACCAAGGCUUUGACGGGUAGCCGGCCUGAGAGGGUGACCGGCCACAUUGGGGCUGGGGUACGGGCCAGACUCCUACGGGGGGCAGCAGUGGGGAAUAUUGCACAAUGGGCGGAAGCCUGAGGCAGCAACGCCGCGUGCGGGAUGACGGCCUUCGGGUUGUAAACCGCUUUCGCCUGUGACGAGGCGUGAGUGACGGUAAUGGGUAAAGAAGCACCGGCUAACUACGUG
RNAcentral lists this ribosomal RNA (468 nucleotides) under uncultured bacterium. Its description in RNAcentral is "partial 16S ribosomal RNA". It matches the Rfam family "Bacterial small subunit ribosomal RNA", at positions 28 to 507 of the family's 1533-position model. The record is from RNAcentral.